RNAcentral lists this ribosomal RNA (253 nucleotides) under uncultured bacterium. RNAcentral's name for it is "partial 16S ribosomal RNA". It matches the Rfam family "Bacterial small subunit ribosomal RNA", at positions 524 to 776 of the family's 1533-position model. The record is from RNAcentral.
UACGGAGGGUGCAAGCGUUAUCCGGAUUCACUGGGUUUAAAGGGUGCGUAGGUGGGCAGGUAAGUCAGUGGUGAAAGCUCGGAGCUCAACUCCGAAAUGGCAUUGGAAACUACCUUGCUCGAGGGUUGGAGGGGGGACUGGAAUGCUUGGUGUAGCAGUGAAAUGCGUAGAUAUCAAGCGGAACACCAGUGGCGAAGGCGAGUCCCUGGACAACUCCUGACACUGAUGCACGAAAGCUAGGGGAGCAAACAGG